AAAAAUUUUAAAAACCCUAAAAAAAUUUUCCUCUUUUCUCCUCAGAGGUAUCCGGCCCUUAGCUCUUGGCCUUCGCCGUGCCGUUUUCGUGGCCGGUGGCCGGAGUAGCGCGAGACAGGCCUUUCAAGCCCUCUCCCCACGACGUCCCUGAGGGCUAGUCCCUCUCAGCCAUGGAACCGAGGAAAAAAAAGAAAGGAGAUACUCCCCGUUCGGCUCCGGUGACAGCGAAUACAGGCUCCGACACCGAUUUACGUUGCGAACAGGUAUUCUCUUCCUCGUUUGUUUCGUUUACGUUAAAUGGGGUUAUAAAAAUAAAUAAAAAAACGUAAAAAAUAAAAUGAAAUAAGAUAAAUGCAAGAACAAAAAUAAAAACUGGUAUCCACCUUUUUUGUUCUUUUAAUCUGCUUAUUUUUGUAUUCAAAAUGUUGUAAAAAAGAGAAGAAGAAGUACAGAAUGUGGUUCGGCCCUUUUUAUAGCCGAUUUGCUUCUAUCUAUUUCCUAUUGUUUUUUCUAUUUUCUUUCUUUUUGCAGGCAUUCGAUGGGCACCAGCGGAUGGGAUAGAGGCGGUGGCGUAGAGGACCAAAGGUCCGAAGCAUGCGGCGCUUGGGAGACCAAAGGUCUGAAGCAGGGGCGGCGCCUAGGGUUUCAGAAACUGAAACCCUAGGCUGAUUUGAACUCUUGGGCCUGGGCUUCUGUAAUCGGGCUUAGGAAGUUUUAAUUAUGUUUAUGCCUUGUUUUUGAAGCCCGGGUAAAAUUGGGCCUCUACAAUGAUCAUACAAAUACAAAGAGAAAUUGAAGUAAACAAGUGAACAAAUAAAAGCAACAUAUGAAAACUAAUUGGAGGAUUCUGAUUUUUGGGGUAAAGGGGAGAGGGAAAGUAAAGAUUUUUGAGGGCUAAGAGGAGGGG
RNAcentral lists this long non-coding RNA (907 nucleotides) under Gossypium raimondii (Peruvian cotton). Its description in RNAcentral is "long non-coding RNA (GRAI_LNC009579)". The record is from RNAcentral. Lineage: Eukaryota; Viridiplantae; Streptophyta; Magnoliopsida; Malvales; Malvaceae.